GCCCGACUAGCUCAUCGGUAGAGCGCCUCACUAGUAUCUUUCCCGUCAAAAGGAACUGUACUUAAAAAUGAGGAGGCAACAGGUUCGAUUCCUGUGUUGGGCA
Hypoxylon sp. FL1150 is the source of this 103-nucleotide non-coding RNA. NCBI's taxonomy places the organism in Eukaryota, Fungi, Ascomycota, Sordariomycetes, Xylariales, Hypoxylaceae. The record is from the annotation of a GenBank genome assembly.